This is a long non-coding RNA of Aphis gossypii (cotton aphid), 866 nucleotides long. RefSeq lists it as uncharacterized. The record is from RefSeq and is a predicted model, not a curated record. The transcript is spliced from 3 exons. NCBI's taxonomy places the organism in Eukaryota, Metazoa, Arthropoda, Insecta, Hemiptera, Aphididae.
GCAGAAUGGCCAGAAGAUGUAAGAACAACAAUGGCAGCAGCUUUACUUUUAUUAGCUGCAUCUACAGCAGAAAUAGCAAUUGUGUGUGAAGCAUCCAAAGGCAAAUUGACCUUAAGCAUUUGAAAAUGUACAAUUAGAAGAUGAUGGUAGCCAUAGUACGUACACACUUAACAGGGUAUGCCCCUUUGGCAGUUUCCCCUGAUAGCAUCACACUAUCUGCUCCAUCGAGGAUGGCAUUUGCCACAUCAGAAUACUCUGCUUGAGUUGCACGGGGUUUUUUGAUCAUAGACUCGAACAUUUGAGUAGCACAAAUAACUGGUUUACCAGCCUAUAUAUUUUAAAGAAUAAAAAUGGAAAUAAAGUGAGGAUUUAUUUGUGGUUUUCAUCGUACAAGUGCGUAUCACAAUAAAUUUGUGUUUAGUUAUUCAUGUUUAGCUUUAUUACUUCAAAAAUUAUAGAGAAUCAACCUAAUAAGAAAUUUUAUGGUAAGAGUAUUAUCUAUGUUCUGAUGUUCAUUAGUUAGUUAGUUUUUAAUGAUGAUUCAAUUUUUUCAACCUUUCAAUAUGUAAGAAUACCAUAAUAACAUCAAAAAUAAUAAUAUGUAAUGAUAUUUUAAAAACUAACCUCCGCCGAAAACCAAGUCGUAGUCGUACUUCGCUUUUUAUUUGUUGUUGUGCGUUUUCGCUGUGCGCCUUCACCGCCGCUGAAAAACACAACAACAAAUAAAAAGCGAAGUACGACUUGACGCGUGUGUUUUUCGGCGGAGGCUAGUUUAAAAAAAAAAAAUUACAUAAAAAAAAAAUACAAAUAAAAAAAUAAAAAAAAUAAAAUACAUUAAAAAAAAUACAUAAAUACAUGUUUAUAUA